CUGUUGUUCUUGGCUGAAAGGUGGCACACAAGAGAAUUUAUUCUCUGCUUGAUGCAUGCUGCCUGCAGUUAAGGCUGGGUAUAUAUUGAGACAAGAAUGUACCUGUUGGAUGCACUGCAGGAACUAUUUGCAGCUGAUUAAACAGCAGUCAUCAGGGGAAUCAUUUAAAAGGACCAUGCUCCCAGAACUCUUCUUCUAAGUGUCAAGAACAAAAUAAUUGAGGACAAGAGGAACAUCAGGCUGAAUAAACCGUGCCAGGAUGCCCACUGAUCCUAGCUGAUAUGAAACAAUAAGCCUCUAGCCCAAGUGACAGAGCUUCUGCCAAUCAAUGAAGUCUUGCAGCUGAAUAAGUGACUGUCGUGAAGCCAAUAUCUGUGAUGAACUUUAGCCUUCAGGGCCAUUGGAUGACAUGGAGGCCAGAAUAAAAACAGCACCUUUGGUUGUCGCCACCAUUUUCAUUUUCAUGUACUGGUCAAACUAACAUACUCCUCCUCUGCCCCUCAUAAUCUAGUAUACCAGGAAUACGGGAUAGCCCUUGCUACUCUGCUGAAGACCAGGACGCAGCCAUAUUCUACUGUAGCACAAAGACUAUAGGCAGAUGCCAGCAGUGAAGGACAGAAGAAAAUUAACUGGAUCAACUAUAAUGAAAUAAAUGAACAAACAUCUUUAAAACAUCUGUGCAAAUAGAAACAGGACUGAGACCACAGACUCACUUCACAUAAGCUAUGGAACAGCAAAUAGAUAGUAGUGACCUGGAACUAUUUGAGCUGAUAAUGUAGAACUAAUAACAAAUGCUCUAAGCCAACCAGUCACUCAUAGGUGGAAGCUGAAUACACUUGGGUCUUCCUGGAGAUUUCAAAUCUGGUGAAAACAAGUGAAAUGUGUUUAGAAGUCUCUCUUGUCUCACAAAUAUCUUUUACUAUCAAAAGCCAUCAUCCGAUUUGGCAUUAUCAUACAACAAACAAGCUGAAGGUAGAUGAAGAGCAGGAGUGUCGCACCUUUUGAAAACAGUGUGGUGGCACAGUUGUGUGUGUGUGUGUGUGUGUGUGCGUGCGCGCACACAAGACUACAAAAUUCCUGUUUAAGACUAUGACAACUUGUACCUACAACUAUCAUUCUCUCCCCUUGUAAAAAUUCGAUUCCAAUAUUUAGCUAGAAAUGUAGCUGAAUAACAAAAAAUCCACUAUUUUGCACUUGGAACGUACUCAAAAGUAAUAAAAAUGGUAGAAUCAUGAGAAAUAAAUAGAUACAGGAACUAAAUAAAAUUUAUAGGGAAGAUGUGACAUUUGGCAUUAAACAAUUGUCAACCCAAUAUUCUUUACUAUGGCUCCAGCAUUUUGCUGGCAUUAUGUCUAUAACACACAUUUGGACUUUCAUUUAGAGCGUACAAGCUACAAGCUUCAAAGUAUUUACAUGGAACUUUUAAUAGAGAUUACAAAUAUAAUUUCUUCAUGAAAAAACACUGUACUCCAAUAUACUGUAUAGCGCAUGCAUGAAAUUCUAAGAAAUACAGCAACCUAUUAUAUAGAUUCUCAACCUGUACAUCAUAACACCUGGGACAGAAGGAUGUUGUGACUAGCCUCCAUUUCUUUCUGGCUAAGUGGUGGGGAAAGGAUUGAAUCUUUUAUAAGAUGGGGUCAUAGGUAUGGAAAAUGUUGCAAAUGGAAUUGUUGGCCCUUAUUCAGUACACCAUGUAAGUGCCUACAGUUAUGCACAUGUUUAAGUGCUUUCCUGAACUGGGGCUCUGAGGAUGGUGGAUUUGCAACAAUAGUAGAGCCCAUUCUAGUGGUCAAGCAUUACAAAAAUUAGAUAGGUCUAAAUCCAGGACAGCAAAGUCUCAUUACCUGCCUGAAAGAUGAGAAUGGUCCCCAGGUGAUGGGGAAGAGAUUUGCCUGCAUAUGAUUCUCUGGUACUAAAAUGAAGUGAAUGUUCCUGCACUGACAGAAAAUGCACCCAGAGAAGGAAUAAAAAUACCUUGUGUUACAGAAAUGACAAUCACGUCUUUCCUUUCAUUUCUGAGAAACAUCAUUGGUAAUUCAUUCGUGCCUCCAGUGUUUGUAAGGGAUAAUAUUCUCCUGUUAGUGCAGAGAUGCUCAAUUAAGCAAUCAGCCAGGGCAGGGUGUAGUUAAUGAUAGCCCUAGGUUGCUCUGACGCAAUGGGAAUACUGGGGGUGAUUUAUUUUAGUUAUUUCUGAUUAAAGAUGAUGACAAUUACUUUUUACAUGCUGCAAUAGUUUCAGCUGAAUUUAGUUGUUGGCACGGUUCUGUUGUUACAUCCACUGCCCCGGGUGAUGUCAGCCCCCCUGGAGAUCCAGAGCUGGUUUCCCUGCCAGUGCAGCUAACUACUACUCCAACCACCCACCACCAGAGCCCCAGGUUAAAUCAAUCAUGAAAGGGAGAGGGCCCAAAGCACUUCAUAAGGAUGUCUUCACUGCAGAGUUAACUUGAACUAUAACAUAAGUAUUGCCCCUAGCUCAAGUCCUGUCCAUACACAAAAACCCUUAACUUGAGUGUGGUGGUGCUUUUAACUCAAGUUAAGGGGCCCAUAGGCUGGUACAGACUACAGGUUCACUUGCACAACUUGUCAGCUGCUAACACAAUCGCACUGUAGUUCAUGUGUUUCGCAGUGUGGCUGCUCUCACUCGAGGCAGCCUAACUUGAAAGGAGUUAACUUGAGUUAACUGCAGCAAAGACAGAACCUUAGAUGUUGCUUUUUGAUUAUCAUUAUUAUUAUUCAAGUAAUGUUACCCACAGUUUAAUUGUGGCAAAAUGCUUGCAUUUCUUUUGUGUGUAUUUUCUGCUGUGAAAGGUUCAUAAGCCAUCUUCCACUUCCUAGGGAAGGUAAUUGGAACAAUUGAGUAGAGAUAAUGACAUUUACCCCAUGGAAAAUUAUUGUGUGUAAAUUGUAGCUUGAAUAUCUCCUUAAGUGGAGGAUUAAUAGAUUGUAUGUUCAGAGAGGUGGUUUGAAUGUUUGUUUGUUAUAAAGACUCCAAAAUGGAGACAAGAGCAAAAUAAAAUCAUUAGCAUCUUUAAGGCAUCGGUCAGGUGCAGCAAGUGGGAGUAUUCUCCCAUGGGAACUCCCAAUUCUUUCCAUCUCUUCAGGAGGUUCUGCAGCCAGAAACUUAAUAAAAUAUAGCUUUAGUGGCCUUUAAAAAACAGAAAAAAGGUUUUAUUCCAUGUUAUGAACAUUUGUUCUUCAAGGAUGAAAUCCUGAUCCCACUCAAGUCAACAGAAGUUUGGACAUAGACUACAGUGUGGCCAAGAUUUCAUCCCGGAUCUCUAAGUUAGAGAUAAAUUUAGUAGAGCUACAGGGGAUUCUGUGGUUAAUGAACGUAGUGUAAUACGCAAUCCAAUGUUAAUUAUGUUCAGUAUUUUCCUACUAUAAUUCAGCCAGAAAUGAAGAUGUUCUAGGCGAUUUAGAAUUGACUGAAAGUGUAUGUCAUCCUACAUAUGAUGGCUGGCCAGUAGAGAUCUGGGGGAACAAUGAGGCUUAUUAAUUUUUUCUUAGAUCUGUGUUGCUGUUGGGGUUGUAUUGUCAGUGAGCAAUUGCCAGCCUCUGUUUAUCAUUAAUUGUACCUUUAAGAGUGUAAAGGGUUCUCUUUUACAUAUUUCUUAUAAACAUAAAUAAAAUAUAUACACAGAACAGAACAUUUUUGGUCUUUUGCACUGAUAAGGGACUUGAUCCUUCUCAUGUUGAAAUUAAUAGCAAACUCCCAACAUAUUCAAUGGGAUUUGAAUCAGGUCUCAAAGGCCCUACAUGGCCUAGAAUUUCUUAUAAUUGGAGCUCCAAUACAUAACUUCUUAAAGGUCUUGUUUUAUUAUUCAUUCCUGGAUUUAAGACUUUCAAAAGUUGGAAGAACGUGGUUGAUGUUUUUACUGCUAAACUGACAGUGGAUCAGCAAUGUGGCGGUCCUUAUAAAUAAUUACCACAUUUGAAUAUGAGUUUACAAUUAUAUCAACUUAAAGAGAUUAUAUAUGCAAACUCUCUUGAACAGUAAUGAAAGAUUAGCACCCAAACCCUCCAGCUGAGGCUGAAAUGAACACCGUAUGGAUCUGGGGGGUUGUUCAAAACUUGCUUAAGGCUCACCUUCAUACUCCUCUGAUCCUGCUCUGUUCAUCUGUCUGGACUGUGUUGAUCUAACUUACACUGGGGUGCAGUGGGAGCAGGGGCAACCUACAGUCUAGGAUUGGCAUAGCUCAGGGAUAUCCUGGUCACAUCCCUUUUCCAUUCUAUGCCAGCAGCAGGGAGGCAUAAUAAUGCAGGGGCCCCUAGAUUAUCUCUAAAUCACUAGAGGAUCGCCUUUACACUAGGAUGAUCCUCUCUGGGCUUGUUAAAUUGGCUUUAAAGGUCAGAUUAUGCCAAGCAAUGUGGCACAAAGCUGCCACACUGCAUGAAGAAAUCUGGCCCUGUAUCUGUACAUUACAAAAGGGACAGAUUUUAGAGUAAAAACAUAGAUAACAAUCCAUGAGGCCGUCAACACCGUACAGUCUGUUAAAUUCAGCCUGGAGUCUAUUUCCAAGCAAGUGUGGAUAUAAAAACCCUUUUUUAUCAUCAUUAUUGGUGGACCUUGUGACAGAGUUCUGAGGUCAGCAGGCAGGUCAGCACUCUGAUCACUGUAGACUCAAUUAGUGUCUUUCCUCCCCGCUCUCCCCCCCCCAUAAUCAGUGUCUGAUUAAAUAAUUAGCUAAUCAGAAGGAGAAGCUGGGGAGGUAAGGGACUAAUUAGCCCUCAGCUGACCAACCUGAUAAAAAACUCAGGAAGGAAGAGUUACAAGAGAGAGGAAGACAGGGCUAGCUGAGCCUGGAAUGAAGGAGCUCCCUAGAGAGGGAGACCUCCUUUUCUCCUAGGACCCAGGCAAAGAAAGGCUGAAAGAAGUAAAGUUAAAACUGUGAUGUUGCACUGUACUGGGGUUGGUGGACAGGCUUAGAAUAAAAUACAGCUCACACACAAGAAGAAAUCAAGUCUGAGCAGUUUUGGGGGCAUCAGAAGAUGGGGACAGCCUGGCUGUCCCAGUCCUGACUGGAAUCACUGCUAUAUUCUGAAUUGGGCUCAAACUUAUUACUUGUUAUAAUUUUUCACCAGAUAUGUUCAUAUUGCUUUUAUGAGGAAAUGUAUAUUAAAUAUAUUAUCCAUAACAACUGUACAAAUAAUUCUCAAUAGCUUGGUUCCUCUCACAUUUACAUUGUUACUUAUUUAAAUUCAUUUUAGGUCCCUUACACCACAAACUGAAGACAAACCUACUUAAACUAUUUAUGUUAUCAUUUGGGGCACUUAACUUAAAUAACAUGCAGAAAAGUUACAAUGCUCAUCCAGCAUAUACAGCGUGAACUAAGGCUAGAACACAAUCUACUGAGGAUGCACGAAAGAAAAUCAAAUUAGAAUGUUUGUGUCUUGUUACGUCUUAAUUUUUCUUAAAUGGUCACAUUU
Chrysemys picta bellii (western painted turtle) is the source of this 5427-nucleotide non-coding RNA. The record is from RefSeq and is a predicted model, not a curated record. Lineage: Eukaryota; Metazoa; Chordata; Testudines; Emydidae.